CGGCCCGAACUCUACGGGAGGCAGCAGUGGGGGAAUAUUGGACAAUGGGGGCAACCCUGAUCCAGCCAUGCCGCGUGUGUGAAGAAGGCCCUCGGGUUGUAAAGCACUUUCAGCGAGGAAGAACGCCUAGUGGUUAAUACCCAUUAGGAAAGACAUCACUCGCAGAAGAAGCACCGGCUAACUCCGUGCCAGCAGCCGCGGUAAUACGGAGGGUGCAAGCGUUAAUCGGAAUUACUGGGCGUAAAGCGCGCGUAGGUGGCUUGAUAAGCCGGUUGUGAAAGCCCCGGGCUCAACCUGGGAACGGCAUCCGGAACUGUCAGGCUAGAGUGCAGGAGAGGAAGGUAGAAUUCCCGGUGUAGCGGUGAAAUGCGUAGAGAUCGGGAGGAAUACCAGUGGCGAAGGCGGCCUUCUGGACUGACACUGACACUGAGGUGCGAAAGCGUGGGUAGCAAACAGGAUUAGAUACCCUGGUAGUCCACGCCGUAAACGAUGUCGACCAGCCGUUGGGUGCCUAGCGCACUUUGUGGCGAAGUUAACGCGAUAAGUCGACCGCCUGGGGAGUACGGCCGCAAGGUUAAAACUCAAAUGAAUUGACGGGGGCCCGCACAAGCGGUGGAGCAUGUGGUUUAAUUCGAUGCAACGCGAAGAACCUUACCUACCCUUGACAUCGACAGAAGCCGAGAGAGAUCUUGGUGUGCCUUCGGGAACUGUCAGACAGGUGCUGCAUGGCUGUCGUCAGCUCGUGUUGUGAAAUGUUGGGUUAAGUCCCGUAACGAGCGCAACCCUUGUCCUUAUUUGCCAGCACGUAAUGGUGGGAACUCUAAGGAGACUGCCGGUGACAAACCGGAGGAAGGUGGGGACGACGUCAAGUCAUCAUGGCCCUUACGGGUAGGGCUACACACGUGCUACAAUGGCCGGUACAAAGGGCAGCGAACUCGCGAGAGUCAGCGAAUCCCUUAAAGCCGGUCUCAGUCCGGAUCGGAGUCUGCAACUCGACUCCGUGAAGUCGGAAUCGCUAGUAAUCGUGAAUCAGAAGC
Molecule: ribosomal RNA, 1037 nt
Filed under: uncultured bacterium
Lineage: Bacteria
Description: bacterial SSU rRNA
Rfam family: Bacterial small subunit ribosomal RNA
Source: RNAcentral